CGGCAGGCUUAACACAUGCAAGUUGAACGGGAUUGCUGGUGCUUGCACUGAGCGAUGAGAGUAGCGCACUGGUGAGUAACACGUGGGAACAUGCCUUUUGGUGGGGGACAACAGAGGGAAACUUCUGCUAAUACCGCAUAAGCCCUAAGGGGGAAAGAUUUAUUGCCGAAAGAUUGGCCCGCGGAAGAUUAGGUAGUUGGUGGGGUAAAGGCCUACCAAGCCGACGAUCUAUAGCUGGUCUGAGAGGACGAACAGCCACAUUGGAACUGAGACACGGUCCAGACUCCUACGGGAGGCAGCAGUGAGGAAUAUUGGGCAAUGGAGGAAACUCUGAACCCCCAGCCAUGCCGCGUGAGUGAAGAAGGUUUUCGAAUUGUAAAGCUCUUUCGGAUACGAGGAUGAUGACGGUAGUAUCUAAAGGAGCCCCGGCAAACUUCGUGCCAGCCGCAGC
Molecule: ribosomal RNA, 451 nt
Filed under: uncultured bacterium
Lineage: Bacteria
Description: bacterial SSU rRNA
Rfam family: Bacterial small subunit ribosomal RNA
Source: RNAcentral